GUCCACGCCGUAAACGAUGGAUACUAGCUGUUAGGCGCAAGUUUAGUGGUUAAGCGAAAGUGAUAAGUAUCCCACCUGGGGAGUACGGGCGCAAGCCUGAAACUCAAAGGAAUUGACGGGGGCCCGCACAAGCGGUGGAGCAUGUGGUUUAAUUCGAUGAUACGCGAGGAACCUUACCAAGGCUUAAAUGGGAAUUGACCGGAGUGGAAACAUUCUUUUCGCAAGACAAUUUUCAAGGUGCUGCAUGGUUGUCGU
RNAcentral lists this ribosomal RNA (255 nucleotides) under uncultured bacterium. RNAcentral's name for it is "partial 16S ribosomal RNA". It matches the Rfam family "Bacterial small subunit ribosomal RNA", at positions 793 to 1055 of the family's 1533-position model. The record is from RNAcentral.